GAUGAGCGCUGGCGGCGUGCCUAAUACAUGCAAGUCGAGCGAACAGACGAGGAGCUUGCUCCUCUGACGUUAGCGGCGGACGGGUGAGUAACACGUGGAUAACCUACCUAUAAGACUGGGAUAACUUCGGGAAACCGGAGCUAAUACCGGAUAAUAUAUUGAACCGCAUGGUUCAAUAGUGAAAGACGGUUUUGCUGUCACUUAUAGAUGGAUCCGCGCCGCAUUAGCUAGUUGGUAAGGUAACGGCUUACCAAGGCAACGAUGCGUAGCCGACCUGAGAGGGUGAUCGGCCACACUGGAACUGAGACACGGUCCAGACUCCUACGGGAGGCAGCAGUAGGGAAUCUUCCGCAAUGGGCGAAAGCCUGACGGAGCAACGCCGCGUGUGUGAUGAAGGUCUUCGGAUCGUAAAACUCUGUUAUUAGGGAAGAACAAAUGUGUAAGUAACUAUGCACGUCUUGACGGUACCUAAUCAGAAAGCCACGGCUAACUACGUG
This 497-nucleotide ribosomal RNA is filed under the name uncultured bacterium. Its description in RNAcentral is "partial 16S ribosomal RNA". It matches the Rfam family "Bacterial small subunit ribosomal RNA", at positions 28 to 507 of the family's 1533-position model. The record is from RNAcentral.